This 433-nucleotide ribosomal RNA is filed under the name uncultured bacterium. RNAcentral describes it as "partial 16S ribosomal RNA". It matches the Rfam family "Bacterial small subunit ribosomal RNA", at positions 29 to 507 of the family's 1533-position model. The record is from RNAcentral.
AACGAACGCUGGCGGCAUGCCUAACACAUGCAAGUCGAACGAAACCGUCGGGUCUAGGUGCGCACGGGGGCGUACGACCGGGGAACCUGCACGUAGGUAAGGAAUAACUCCCCGAAGGGGGUGCUAAUACAGGAUAAUGUCUUCGGACCAAAGAUUUUUCGCCGUGGGAUGGGGGCGUGUUGGAUUAGCUGGUUGGUAGUGUAAAAGCCUAGCAAGGAGACGAUGCAUAGCUGGUAUGAGAGGAUGCCCAGCAACACUUGGACUGAGACACGGCCUAGUAGCCUACGCAGCGCAGCAGUGUGGAAUAUUAUGCAAGGGGGGAAAGUGUGAUCCAGCAAUGUCGGGUGAGUCAUGAAGGCCUUAGGGUUGUAAAGCUCUUUUUCCCGGGAUGAUAAUGACAGUACCGGGAGAAUAAGCACCGGCUAACUCCGUG